GAAAUGCGAUAAAUAAUGUGAAUUGCAGAAUUCCGUGAAUCAUCGAGUCUUUGAACGCACAUUGCGCCCGGGAGUAUUCUUCCGGGCAUGCCUAUUCGAGCGUCAUUUCCACCCUCGACUCCGGUCGGCGUUGGAGGCCUACAGACCACUGUAGCCUCUCAAGAUCACUGGCGGCGUCCGCUGGAAACCUUGCGUAGUAAAACUCCUCGCAUCGGGCCCAGCGGGCACCUGCCCCUAAACCACCGCCUCGGCUCCGGCCGUGCAACACUGGUUGACCUCGGAUUAGGUAGGGAUACCCGCUGAACUUAA
RNAcentral lists this unclassified non-coding RNA (309 nucleotides) under uncultured fungus. RNAcentral's name for it is "sequence contains ITS1". The stretch from base 1 to 105 matches the Rfam family "5.8S ribosomal RNA", at positions 50 to 154 of the family's 154-position model. The record is from RNAcentral. Lineage: Eukaryota; Fungi.